This 510-nucleotide ribosomal RNA is filed under the name uncultured bacterium. RNAcentral's name for it is "partial 16S ribosomal RNA". It matches the Rfam family "Bacterial small subunit ribosomal RNA", at positions 28 to 507 of the family's 1533-position model. The record is from RNAcentral.
GACGAACGCUGGCGGCGUGCUUAACACAUGCAAGUCGAACGAAGAGCGAUGGAAGCUUGCUUCUCUCAAUCUUAGUGGCGAACGGGUGAGUAACGCGUAAUCAACCUGCCCUUCAGAGGGGGACAACAGUUGGAAACGACUGCUAAUACCGCAUACGAUCUAAACUCGGCAUCGAGGAUAGAUGAAAGGUGGCCUCUACAUGUAAGCUAUCACUGAAGGAGGGGAUUGCGUCUGAUUAGCUAGUUGGAGGGGUAACGGCCCACCAAGGCGAUGAUCAGUAGCCGGUCUGAGAGGAUGAACGGCCACAUUGGGACUGAGACACGGCCCAGACUCCUACGGGAGGCAGCAGUGGGGAAUCUUCCGCAAUGGACGAAAGUCUGACGGAGCAACGCCGCGUGAGUGAUGACGGCCUUCGGGUUGUAAAGCUCUGUUAAUCGGGACGAAAGGCCUUCUUGCGAAUAGUGAGAAGGAUUGACGGUACCGGAAUAGAAAGCCACGGCUAACUACGUG